AGCAGCCGCGGUAAUUCCAGCUCCAAUAGCGUAUAUUAAAGUUGUUGCAGUUAAAAAGCUCGUAGUUGAACUUCGGGGUUCACCCAUUGGUCAGGCUUAAUUGUCUGUACUGGUGAGAUGAAUCUCUACCUUCUGAGGAACUUUCAUGCCAUUUAUUUGGUGUGAUGGGAAAUCAGGACUGUUACUUUGAAAAAAUUAGAGUGUUUAAAGCAGGCUAACGUCUGAAUACAUUAGCAUGGAAUAAUGAAAUAGGACGGAUUGUAUUCUAUUUCGUUGGUUUCUAGGGUCACCGUAAUGAUUAAUAGGGAUAGUUGGGGGCAUUAGUAUUCAAUUGUCAGAGGUGAAAUUCUUGGAUUUAUUGAAGACUAACUAC
This 373-nucleotide unclassified non-coding RNA is filed under the name uncultured Glomus. Its description in RNAcentral is "SSU rRNA". It matches the Rfam family "Eukaryotic small subunit ribosomal RNA", at positions 569 to 943 of the family's 1831-position model. The record is from RNAcentral. Lineage: Eukaryota; Fungi; Glomeromycota; Glomeromycetes; Glomerales; Glomeraceae.